AGUUACAGAUACUUUACGAAAGGAGACACAAGCCUACAUACAUACAUAUACAUACACAUAUGUACCAUAAAAAAAUUUAAUUUUUAGUAAUUUUGUAAACACCAAAUAUGAUGUUUUUAAUCAUAAAUUGUUAUAAAAAAUUUCUCCAGCUUUAUACAACGACCAGACUAUUUUGGAUUAUUGUUAUAGGCAUAUCUUGUUGGAAUAUGACAGUAAUUUGUAUUUUAAUGUUAAAAAGAUAUAUUUCCGAUUCUAUAAGUAUAAGCGUCGAAACUUCAUUUCUACACUGGAAUAUUACGUUCCCAUCUGUAUCAAUUUGCUUAUCUAAGAGUCGGUCUAAUGUGGAAAUUAUGCGCUUUCUGAACCAAAAGAAUAUUAAUUACAUAAAAAAUAUUCAUAAUUAUUUAUUCAUCACACCGACUAACAUUAAUACCAAAGAAGAUUACUGCAGAGGCUUUAACUCAACCUGUGGAGUAAAUAUUCAUAUUGCAAGAGAACAAUUACUUACACAAUUCUGUGAAUCCAUUAUAACAGAUAUCACAUUUUUGGAAGUUAAACAACACAACUGCGCUGAAAUAUUUAAAUUUCAUGAUCUUGAAAUGGGUUAUUGCUUUCUAGCCAAUAAUUUUAUUGAUUAUCGCAAUUUAGAUGAAUUGCCAUUACGACUUAGCCCGUUUGAAGCGAAGAAAUCAUUAAAACUUUUUCUAAAACAAGAAUCACUUUGGAAAUACGAGAUGUACGUACAUAGCAACGUGGAUAUACCAUACUUCGGAUUACUUUCACAAACUUUGGGAAAGGAUCAUAUAAGAUAUACUUAUAAUAUGGAAGAAAUGCUAAAUAGCUUGACAGUAAAUGAUCAAAGCUUUGAAAAAAGAAAAUGCAAGUUUCCGCAUGAAAUAAUUUAUGGAUCCACUUAUCACUACAGUUUUUCAUCAUGCAUGUCUGAUCUCAGAGUAAUUUUGGAGUUAAAAUACUGUAAUUGCACAUUAUUCACAUCUCCGAUAAAAUAUUUCAAUUAUUUCUGUGAUUUUCGGGGAAUGGCAUGUAUAUCUAAAGAGGAUAUAACUUUUAAGGCAAAACAAAUCGCUAGAGAAAAAUAUGUAUGUUAUCCGUCGUGUUCGGAGCAGAAGCUUCAGUUUGUUGGCUGCCUUUGAACUACAUGUAUGUUCUUCCAGAGAGCGGUCUAAUGAAAUUAAAAAAUUAGCUCGUCCAAGAUUUGCACUAGUCGAGGUUGAAAUACAAAAUGUUCCCCCACUACGUUGUGUAAGAAGUGUUACUCAAUCUUAUCAAGAUUUGGUUGUUUCAGCUGGAGGUGUCAUUGGUCUUUUUAUUGGUAUUUCUAUAUUAAGUGUGAUUGAUAUUAUAUACAUUUGUUUAAAAAAACUCUAGAUACGUACUUAUUUUCUUAACAAUAACAAAUAUUUUAAACGCUUUAUGAAAUAUGUAUGAAACUGUUGUUUUAAAAAGCGUUUUAUAUGUAAUUUGUUUUUAUGAAUUUUGAGCUAAAGAUUAUAGUUUUUGCUCUACAAAACGGUUUGUCCAAAUAUACUUGUUGACUAUUAA
Molecule: non-coding RNA, 1563 nt
Organism: Bactrocera oleae (olive fruit fly)
Lineage: Eukaryota; Metazoa; Arthropoda; Insecta; Diptera; Tephritidae
Source: RefSeq, a predicted model, not a curated record